RNAcentral lists this ribosomal RNA (257 nucleotides) under uncultured bacterium. RNAcentral's name for it is "partial 16S ribosomal RNA". It matches the Rfam family "Bacterial small subunit ribosomal RNA", at positions 613 to 868 of the family's 1533-position model. The record is from RNAcentral.
CCCGUGGAGUGCCUGAGAAACCGGGUAACUUGAGGGCAGGAGAGGGGAGUGGAAUUCCCAGUGUAGCGGUGAAAUGCGUAGAUAUUGGGAGGAACACCAGUGGCGAAGGCGGCUCUCUGGCCUAACCCUGACGCUGAGGCGCGAAAGCGUGGGGAUCAAACAGGAUUAGAUACCCUGGUAGUCCACGCCGUAAACGAUGGGUGCUAGGUGUAGGAGGUAUCGACCCCUUCUGUGCCGUAGCUAACACAAUAAGCACC